ACGGAGGAAGGGAUUCUGAGCAGAGACGGGGCUGGAGGUCAAGACGGACACACUGGCUACAGUCAAGUCACGAGCAAUCCCGAAAGGCACGUAAGAGUUGCUUGUGCCUGAGACAGAGCCGUGAUUAAAGGAAUACAUUAGCAUGCAGACUCAUUUGAUAAGCUGAGACUCAACUCAAUGGCUGCAUCUGAUGCUCACUUUCCUGUGAUUAGGUAAGUGUCUGCCCC
This 227-nucleotide long non-coding RNA is filed under the name Mustela putorius furo (domestic ferret). RNAcentral describes it as "lncRNA (ENSMPUG00000023883.1)". The record is from RNAcentral. Lineage: Eukaryota; Metazoa; Chordata; Mammalia; Carnivora; Mustelidae.